CAGAACGGGUCACCCCAAGACCAUUUUACCCAAUCUUUUCCCUAACCAACCUAAUAUUAGAUCAUUAUUAUUAUUUUCCUCAUAGUUUGGUCACGUGAACUUGAAUUAGAUCACCAAUAAUAAUGCUCUAGCAGCAACUCCCUUCUCCUUUUCCCUCUCACGCACACAGUAACUUGGUCUAAUCCCUAACAGCAACUCCCUUCUCCGGCGGCCCAGAGCAGAUCUAUCCCCCUUGUACCGGCGGUCCUGUAGCAGUUCCAUUCCAUUAAAACCGGCGGCCUGUAGCAGUCUCCUCCGUACCCGCAGCAGCGCGCCAUAGCAGUUCCGAUCCCCUCCAUUGAAACCGGCGGUCCUGUAGCUGCAGUACUUAGCCCAUCUCAAAAACUUUUUGAGAAAUAGAGCUCAACCAGAAGGUUCUAGUGCAGAGGGUUAUACUCUUGAGGAAACAAUUACCUUUUGCUCUAGAUAUUUAGAUGGCGUAGAAACACUCUUCAAUCGACCACCUCGCAACGAUGAUGAUAAUGAAAAUGGAUCUAGUUAUUUGUUCAAUGCUUGUGUUCGGCCAGUUGGGGAGGUGAAAGUGAUUAAUUUGAACCAUAAGAGCAAGAUGCAAAUACAUCAUUAUGUGCUAACACAAUUUCAAGAGUUACUUCAACCAUUUGAAAGAGAAUUCUUAUCUCAGAAGCAAAGGGAAAAUCAUAGAAUUACUGUUACUAAUGAUUUACUGUUACUAAUGAUUUGGUGAUUAAAUGGAAGUUAGAGGAAUUUCCAGAUUGGUCAAAGUUGCAGGUUACCGAUUAAGAAAUUUUACCAACUAAAUGUAAAUGUUUAUACUUUGUAUUGAUUCAUCCACUUGAACAAUAUAUUUUACAUAGGUACCAAAUAUCAAUGAGGCCAAUCCCGAAGGAAGAUUGUUGAUAGCAUUGGCAUGUGGUCCAAGUCCAUAUGUUAGAAGAAUGAAGGGUCAUAUGAUUAAUGGUUUCAAGUUCAAGACAUGUGCUAGUAAAAGAACUCGUAAAACUCAAAAUAGUGGUGUCAUGGUGGAAGCCGAUGGAAAUAAGUACUAUGGAAGAUUAAUAGAUAUACUUGAAAUUGACUACCUUGGAUCCUAUAAAGUCGUGGUGUAUCGUUGUGAUUGGGUAGACAUAGUAACUAGGAUAGAAUAUAUUGGUUCUAGAACUCGAGUGAGCUUCUCAAAGUUGAUUCACACGGGCCGAUAUCUAACGGAUGAGCCGUUUAUUAUUUCUAGUCAAGCAACACCAGUUUUUUAUGUUAAAGAUUUAUCAAAAAAUGGUUGGAAUCAUGUAGUUGAAACUAAGCCUAGGGACUUGUUUGAAGUUUGAUGAAAUCAACUAUUCAUGUGUUUUUUUAGAUAUGAUAAUCUAUUUGAUCUCUCUUAGUGGUUGCUCUCCUAUGUUAAUUUUAUUUGAUCUUGUUUAUAUAUUUUUACUUUGCUUUUAAUUUAAUUCCUUGUCUAAUUUUAAUUUAUAAUUAUGACACAUUCUCAUCUUUUCGUUGUCACUGCAGUUUUCAUCAUCGUGAAAUCAUGAGAAAAAAUGAUGAGAUUAUUUCCCAAUUACAAAAAAGAAAUAAUGAGGUUACUUCCUAACUUUUGAAAAAAAAUGAAGAAGUUAAAGAAUUAAGAGCUCAAAAUCAAAAAAUUCUCACUCAACUUGCAUUAGUCUUAGAUCAAUUACAACAAAAUUAAAGGACAAGUAAA
Long non-coding RNA from Amaranthus tricolor (Joseph's coat), 1720 nucleotides. RefSeq lists it as uncharacterized. The record is from RefSeq and is a predicted model, not a curated record. NCBI's taxonomy places the organism in Eukaryota, Viridiplantae, Streptophyta, Magnoliopsida, Caryophyllales, Amaranthaceae. The transcript has 4 exons.